AGCGUACACGGUGGAUGCCCUGGCAGUCAGAGGCGAUGAAGGACGUGCUAAUCUGCGAUAAGCGUCGGUAAGGUGAUAUGAACCGUUAUAACCGGCGAUUUCCGAAUGGGGAAACCCAGUGUGAUUCGUCACACUAUCAUUAACUGAAUCCAUAGGUUAAUGAGGCGAACCGGGGGAACUGAAACAUCUAAGUACCCCGAGGAAAAGAAAUCAACCGAGAUUCCCCCAGUAGCGGCGAGCGAACGGGGAGCAGCCCAGAGCCUGAAUCAGUGUGUGUGUUAGUGGAAGCGUCUGGAAAGGCGCGCGAUACAGGGUGACAGCCCCGUACACAAAAAUGCACAUACUGUGAGCUCGAUGAGUAGGGCGGGACACGUGGUAUCCUGUCUGAAUAUGGGGGGACCAUCCUCCAAGGCUAAAUACUCCUGACUGACCGAUAGUGAACCAGUACCGUGAGGGAAAGGCGAAAAGAACCCCGGCGAGGGGAGUGAAAAAGAACCUGAAACCGUGUACGUACAAGCAGUGGGAGCACAGAGCAAUCUGUGUGACUGCGUACCUUUUGUAUAAUGGGUCAGCGACUUAUAUUCUGUAGCAAGGUUAACCGAAUAGGGGAGCCGAAGGGAAACCGAGUCUUAACUGGGCGUUAAGUUGCAGGGUAUAGACCCGAAACCCGGUGAUCUAGCCAUGGGCAGGUUGAAGGUUGGGUAACACUAACUGGAGGACCGAACCGACUAAUGUUGAAAAAUUAGCGGAUGACUUGUGGCUGGGGGUGAAAGGCCAAUCAAACCGGGAGAUAGCUGGUUCUCCCCGAAAGCUAUUUAGGUAGCGCCUCGUGAAUUCAUCUCCGGGGGUAGAGCACUGUUUCGGCAAGGGGGUCAUCCCGACUUACCAACCCGAUGCAAACUGCGAAUACCGGAGAAUGUUAUCACGGGAGACACACGGCGGGUGCUAACGUCCGUCGUGAAGAGGGAAACAACCCAGACCGCCAGCUAAGGUCCCAAAGUCAUGGUUAAGUGGGAAACGAUGUGGGAAGGCCCAGACAGCCAGGAUGUUGGCUUAGAAGCAGCCAUCAUUUAAAGAAAGCGUAAUAGCUCACUGGUCGAGUCGGCCUGCGCGGAAGAUGUAACGGGGCUAAACCAUGCACCGAAGCUGCGGCAGCGACGCUUAUGCGUUGUUGGGUAGGGGAGCGUUCUGUAAGCCUGCGAAGGUGUGCUGUGAGGCAUGCUGGAGGUAUCAGAAGUGCGAAUGCUGACAUAAGUAACGAUAAAGCGGGUGAAAAGCCCGCUCGCCGGAAGACCAAGGGUUCCUGUCCAACGUUAAUCGGGGCAGGGUGAGUCGACCCCUAAGGCGAGGCCGAAAGGCGUAGUCGAUGGGAAACAGGUUAAUAUUCCUGUACUUGGUGUUACUGCGAAGGGGGGACGGAGAAGGCUAUGUUGGCCGGGCGACGGUUGUCCCGGUUUAAGCGUGUAGGCUGGUUUUCCAGGCAAAUCCGGAAAAUCAAGGCUGAGGCGUGAUGACGAGGCACUACGGUGCUGAAGCAACAAAUGCCCUGCUUCCAGGAAAAGCCUCUAAGCAUCAGGUAACAUCAAAUCGUACCCCAAACCGACACAGGUGGUCAGGUAGAGAAUACCAAGGCGCUUGAGAGAACUCGGGUGAAGGAACUAGGCAAAAUGGUGCCGUAACUUCGGGAGAAGGCACGCUGAUAUGUAGGUGAAGUCCCUCGCGGAUGGAGCUGAAAUCAGUCGAAGAUACCAGCUGGCUGCAACUGUUUAUUAAAAACACAGCACUGUGCAAACACGAAAGUGGACGUAUACGGUGUGACGCCUGCCCGGUGCCGGAAGGUUAAUUGAUGGGGUUAGCGCAAGCGAAGCUCUUGAUCGAAGCCCCGGUAAACGGCGGCCGUAACUAUAACGGUCCUAAGGUAGCGAAAUUCCUUGUCGGGUAAGUUCCGACCUGCACGAAUGGCGUAAUGAUGGCCAGGCUGUCUCCACCCGAGACUCAGUGAAAUUGAACUCGCUGUGAAGAUGCAGUGUACCCGCGGCAAGACGGAAAGACCCCGUGAACCUUUACUAUAGCUUGACACUGAACAUUGAGCCUUGAUGUGUAGGAUAGGUGGGAGGCUUUGAAGUGUGGACGCCAGUCUGCAUGGAGCCGACCUUGAAAUACCACCCUUUAAUGUUUGAUGUUCUAACGUUGACCCGUGAUCCGGGUUGCGGACAGUGUCUGGUGGGUAGUUUGACUGGGGCGGUCUCCUCCUAAAGAGUAACGGAGGAGCACGAAGGUUGGCUAAUCCUGGUCGGACAUCAGGAGGUUAGUGCAAUGGCAUAAGCCAGCUUGACUGCGAGCGUGACGGCGCGAGCAGGUGCGAAAGCAGGUCAUAGUGAUCCGGUGGUUCUGAAUGGAAGGGCCAUCGCUCAACGGAUAAAAGGUACUCCGGGGAUAACAGGCUGAUACCGCCCAAGAGUUCAUAUCGACGGCGGUGUUUGGCACCUCGAUGUCGGCUCAUCACAUCCUGGGGCUGAAGUAGGUCCCAAGGGUAUGGCUGUUCGCCAUUUAAAGUGGUACGCGAGCUGGGUUUAGAACGUCGUGAGACAGUUCGGUCCCUAUCUGCCGUGGGCGCUGGAGAACUGAGGGGGGCUGCUCCUAGUACGAGAGGACCGGAGUGGACGCAUCACUGGUGUUCGGGUUGUCAUGCCAAUGGCACUGCCCGGUAGCUAAAUGCGGAAGAGAUAAGUGCUGAAAGCAUCUAAGCACGAAACUUGCCCCGAGAUGAGUUCUCCCUGACUCCUUGA
RNAcentral lists this ribosomal RNA (2789 nucleotides) under Escherichia coli. RNAcentral describes it as "bacterial LSU rRNA". It matches the Rfam family "Bacterial large subunit ribosomal RNA". Lineage: Bacteria; Pseudomonadati; Pseudomonadota; Gammaproteobacteria; Enterobacterales; Enterobacteriaceae. The record is from RNAcentral.